Long non-coding RNA from Orcinus orca (killer whale), 1515 nucleotides. RefSeq lists it as uncharacterized. The record is from RefSeq and is a predicted model, not a curated record. NCBI's taxonomy places the organism in Eukaryota, Metazoa, Chordata, Mammalia, Artiodactyla, Delphinidae. The transcript has 4 exons.
UGUGUCUUUUUUUUUUUUUUUUUUUGCGGUACGCGGGCCUCUCACUGUUGUGGCUUCUCCCGUUGCGGAGCACAGGCUCCGGACACGCGCAGGCUCAGCGGCCAUGGCUCAAGGGUCCAGCCGCUCCGCGGCAUGUGGGAUCUUCCCGGGCCGGGGCACGAACCCGUGUCCCCUGCAUUGGUAGGCAGACUCUCAACCACUGCGCCACCAGGGAAGCCCUGUUUUUUGUUUUUUAACAUGCUGAGAAAGGCAACAACCCUGGGAGAAGAUGAGGCUGGACCGGGAUCAGAAGUGUUCUGAUUCAGAAGUAGCUGCUCCUUGCAUCUUAUUACAUCACCGUCGCCUGUUUUAGGAGCAGAGUAGAGGGACAGAGGACAAAUACACGAUGGCAGUUAUGGCUUCACCCUCGCCCCUGCCUGGGGAGUCAGAAGAAGGGGGUCAGAUGGGGCUUGUGAUAUGACAGUGCCCCUGCUCUCUGCUUCCUCCUGACACUGGUUGUGCAGGUCGCUAGGGUACCACUGUUCCCGCUCAGCUUUGGGCAGGUUACUUCUCUCCUCGUCCAACCAUAUCUACUCCAAGAUGGCUGUGAGGAUUAGAUGAAAUAACAUAGGUAAAGCAUCUGGUAUAUUCCACCCGCCUCUCUCUCUCUUCUAGAAAUCUCUUCACCCAUCCUGUACUUGGCACAAAUGUUUCCUCUCAAACAAAACCUAAAGAAUUGGCUGGUGUGACUAUGCCGGGGAGGGUUAAUUUUAUGUGUCAACCUGACUGGGCCAAGUGAUGCUGGGAGAGCUUGUAAACAUUAUUUUCGGGGAGCGUCUCUGAGGGUGUUUCUGUAAGAGAUUGGCAUCUGAAGUGGGAGAAUGAGUAGAGCAGAUAACUCCCAUCAAGGCAGGUGGGCAUGAUCCGAUCCACUAGGGUCCUGAAUAGAACAAAAAAGGCAGAGGGAAGGUGAAUUUGCUCUCGUUUCGAGCUGGGACAUCCAUCCUUUCCUGCCCCCUGGACAUUGGCGCUUUUGAUCCUCAGGCCUUUGGACCAGCUCUCCUGGGUCUUCAGCUUGCAGACAGCAAAUCAUGGGACUUCUUGGCCUCCAUAAUCAUGUGAGGAAACCCAGAUCCAGAGAGCUGAAAUCCCUUGAAUAAGGUCACAGGGCCAGGAGGUGGCAGGGCUGGGAUUUGAACCUGGCCAUCCGGCUCCAGUCACAGAUGGGUGCUGGAAGCUGAGCCAACACUGGGCCACCAGGCAAGUUGCAGACAGCUGUGGUGGGGUGUGAAGAGGAGGCAUGUUCUGCUUUUAUCGGCCAGACAGACAGCCCACGUGUGAACUGGAGGCGGUGGUGGGCUUCAUCUCUGACCUGGGCACAACUGACCUCAGCAAAGGUCUGGUACCAAGGUAGGUAGCGUGCCUUGAAUAUGCACAGACUAUGGAACAGGUUUUGUUUUUCCUGCCAGCAGAUGCUUUUUUGCACCGUUGAAUUGCUCUGGUGGAAGAGAGCUUUACAAGCAGGAGCACAUGGAA